UAUCUCUGUAGAGUCUGCAUAUCAAUAAGCGGAGGAAAAGAAACUAACAAGGAUUCCCCUAGUAACGGCGAGUGAAGCGGGAAGAGCUCAAAUUUGAAAUCUUCAAGGUUUGACCUUGACGAAUUGUAGUUUAAAGAAGUGUUUUCGGUUAGAGGAGUAGUAAAAGUUCUUUGGAAUAGGACAUCAUAGAGGGUGAGAAUCCCGUAUUUGACUAUUCUUUCUAGCUUUGUGAUACACUUUCAAAGAGUCGGAUUGUUUGGGAAUGCAGUCCAAAAUGGGUGGUAAAUUUCAUCUAAAGCUAAAUAUUGGCGAGAGACCGAUAGCGAACAAGUACCGUGAGGGAAAGAUGAAAAGAACUUUGAAAAGAGAAUUAAACAGUACGUGAAAUUGUCAAAAGGGAAGCGUUUGACACCAGUGUUGUUUUUCCGAAAAUCAAUUAAAAAUUGAUUCAUGCCAGGUUGUAUUGACCUUAUCAGCUUGCAAUUUGGUUUUGGGUCUCUUUUUGAUGCACUUUUCGGUUAACAAGUCAACAUCAAUUUCCUUUGCUGUAAAAAGGUAAGAGGAAGGUGGCUUCAAUUUCGGUUGAAGUGUUUAUAGCCUUUUAUCUCUGCAGUCGGGGAGAUUGAGGUCUGCAGCGUAGAUCCUUCGGGGCUAGAUACAUUUAUGCUAAGUUAUAGCUUUUCAUAGACAACUUGUUGACUAUGUUUAGUCAUGUAGCUUACUCGUAAGUGCUAUUUUACCUACGCUUAGGAUGUUGAGCGCAUGUCUCUCUCU
This 774-nucleotide ribosomal RNA is filed under the name uncultured Neocallimastigales. RNAcentral describes it as "partial large subunit ribosomal RNA". It matches the Rfam family "Eukaryotic large subunit ribosomal RNA", at positions 24 to 642 of the family's 3401-position model. Lineage: Eukaryota; Fungi; Neocallimastigomycota; Neocallimastigomycetes; Neocallimastigales. The record is from RNAcentral.